UAACCAAUCACGCAAGUGGUAUUGGGGCCUGCCGUCGGCAUUCCUUAAAAUAAGUGGCAGUGCUAUAGGCUCUCAGCGCAGUAAUUAUUUCGCUCUUGAGUCCUAGAACCACCCGCCAAAACCCUAAUUUUUUCA
RNAcentral lists this unclassified non-coding RNA (135 nucleotides) under uncultured Arachnopeziza. RNAcentral describes it as "sequence contains ITS2". Lineage: Eukaryota; Fungi; Ascomycota; Leotiomycetes; Helotiales; Hyaloscyphaceae. The record is from RNAcentral.